This 758-nucleotide ribosomal RNA is filed under the name Ochlerotatus thibaulti. Its description in RNAcentral is "eukaryotic LSU rRNA". It matches the Rfam family "Eukaryotic large subunit ribosomal RNA", at positions 303 to 892 of the family's 3401-position model. The record is from RNAcentral. Lineage: Eukaryota; Metazoa; Arthropoda; Insecta; Diptera; Culicidae.
ACUCCUUCUAAAGCUAAAUAUCACCACGAGACCGAUAGCGAACAAGUACCGUGAGGGAAAGUUGAAAAGCACUCUGAAUAGAGAGUCAAAAAGUACGUGAAACUGCCUAGGGCUCAAGCCCGUUGAACUCGAUUAUCCGAGCGGAGACAUUCACCUGCGGUUGGCCGGCGACGGCAGACCGCAGGGCACUUGUCUGCCGCGUCCACGAGGACAUUGCGAUCCAUUACGAAACAGCUCUAGCGUCGCGAGACGCAAGGUCGCCCGACGGUUGCCCCCUGGUGCCGGUUGCUUGCCCCACAGUAGCGACGCUCAGUUCUGAAGGCCUGUGCCGCGAGGUGGGGCUUACUGCACGUGGUGUUUGCAGUCGGGCGCGUGAUGGAUUUCCGCGCACACCGCCGGCCUUCCCGCAGCGGGCCGGCGGACGGUCGAUCGGCAAUGAUAAAAUCGAGGUACCUCCGGGACCCGUCUUGAAACACGGACCAAGAAGUCUAUCUUGCGCGCGAGCCAAUGGUCGUCCUCCGGAACACCAAAGGCGCAAAAAACAUAACUUGAGUUGUGCGGGAUUACGGGCGCGGCUCUCUGCAGCGUCCCUCCAUCCCCGGGUGUUGUAGCCGGCAUGCGGUGGUGGCCCCCCGGGGCCGCUACCGUGCCACAACAUACCGUGAGUGUGCAGGAUGUGACCCGAAAGAUGGUGAACUAUGCCUGAUCAGGUUGAAGUCAGGGGAAACCCUGAUGGAGGACCGAAGCAGUUCUGACGU